GACGAACGCUGGCGGCGCGCUUAACACAUGCAAGUCGAACGGAAAGGCCCUGCUUUUGUGGGGUGCUCGAGUGGCGAACGGGUGAGUAACACGUGAGUAACCUGCCCUUGACUUUGGGAUAACUUCAGGAAACUGGGGCUAAUACCUGAUAGGAGCUCCUGCUGCAUGGUGGGGGUUGGAAAGUUUCGGCGGUUGGGGUUGGACUCGCGGCUUAUCAGCUUGUUGGUGGGGUAGUGGCUUACCAAGGCUUUGACGGGUAGCCGGCCUGAGAGGGUGACCGGCCACAUUGGGACUGAGAUACGGCCCAGACUCCUACGGGAGGCAGCAGUGGGGAAUAUUGCACAAUGGGCGGAAGCCUGAUGCAGCAACGCCGCGUGCGGGAUGACGGCCUUCGGGUUGUAAACCGCUUUCGCCUGUGACGAAGCGUGAGUGACGGUAAUGGGUAAAGAAGCACCGGCUAACUACGUG
RNAcentral lists this ribosomal RNA (468 nucleotides) under uncultured bacterium. RNAcentral describes it as "partial 16S ribosomal RNA". It matches the Rfam family "Bacterial small subunit ribosomal RNA", at positions 28 to 507 of the family's 1533-position model. The record is from RNAcentral.